ACCACUUCUCAGCCUUUUAGCUAAGACCAAGUGUAGUAUAUGUUCCUAUCAGUUUAAAAUGCAAGAAAGAGAUAAGACCAGUCGUGGGCUACAUUAUGGGGCUACAUUAUACAUUGUCAGUUAUUUGUUUUGUUUGACAUUUAUUCAUAGUGAAUGAGAAACGGAGCUAUUGCAAGGUAUUCAGCCAUUUACAAUUU
This is a small nuclear RNA of Nomascus leucogenys (northern white-cheeked gibbon), 197 nucleotides long. It matches the Rfam family "U2 spliceosomal RNA". Rfam says of the family: U2 is a small nuclear RNA (snRNA) component of the spliceosome (involved in pre-mRNA splicing). Complementary binding between U2 snRNA (in an area lying towards the 5' end but 3' to hairpin I) and the branchpoint sequence (BPS) of the intron results the bulging out of an unpaired adenosine, on the BPS, which initiates a nucleophilic attack at the intronic 5' splice site, thus starting the first of two transesterification reactions that mediate splicing. Lineage: Eukaryota; Metazoa; Chordata; Mammalia; Primates; Hylobatidae. The record is from Rfam.